This 67-nucleotide transfer RNA is filed under the name Testudo graeca. Its description in RNAcentral is "tRNA-Glu". It matches the Rfam family "tRNA". Rfam says of the family: Transfer RNA (tRNA) molecules are approximately 80 nucleotides in length. Their secondary structure includes four short double-helical elements and three loops (D, anti-codon, and T loops). Further hydrogen bonds mediate the characteristic L-shaped molecular structure. tRNAs have two regions of fundamental functional importance: the anti-codon, which is responsible for specific mRNA codon recognition, and the 3' end, to which the tRNAs corresponding amino acid is attached (by aminoacyl-tRNA synthetases). tRNAs cope with the degeneracy of the genetic code in two manners: having more than one tRNA (with a specific anti-codon) for a particular amino acid; and 'wobble' base-pairing, i.e. permitting non-standard base-pairing at the 3rd anti-codon position. The record is from RNAcentral. Lineage: Eukaryota; Metazoa; Chordata; Testudines; Testudinidae.
AUUUUUGUAGUUGAAUACAACGGUGGUUUUUCGGACCAUAGGUCUUGGUUGAACCCAGGCAAGAAUU